GUCGCCAUUGCAUUGCUAAUGCUACUAUAUACAUAUGCAUAUAUAGUUUUCUAGCUAGAUCAAGUAAGUUUUGAGCGAGCAAGCAAGUUAGGUAGUAGCGCUAUACCUUGAAAAUUAGGUAAUUAAUUAAGAUGGCCGGAGAUUCGCCGGAGGCGCCGGUCGGGCAGGCAUGAACCACCGGCCUCUGCGACUGCUGCGACGACUGCAACAGCUGUUGCCUGACGUUCUUCUGCCCGUGCGUUGCCUUCGGCCUUAUCGCCGAGACCCUCGACAGGGGCAGCAUCUCUUGCGCCAUAGCAGGCAUCACCUACUGCUGGAUGCGGCCGAGCACGGUGCUCCCAGGCAUGCACACCAUGUACUCUUGGUCCUACCGCCAGAAGCUCCGCGCCACGUUCGGCAUGGCGCCGGAGCCCUGCGCCGACUGCUGUCUGCAGCUCUUCUGUGACAGAUGUUCCCUCAGCCAGAUGUACCGCGAGCUCAAGAACCGUGGCGUCAACCCUGCCAAUGGUAAUUAAACCCGGCUCACGCCUUACCAUAUUCUACAUUAAUUAUAUAUUUUUAACAAUGAUAGAAUUAUGUAAACUGUUACAUUGAUCUCGUCCUUGUUUUAAUUAAUAUUCCACCACAUAACCCAUUUUAUUGUAAAAUCUCAAUCAUCCAAAA
Molecule: non-coding RNA, 663 nt
Organism: Oryza sativa Japonica Group (Japanese rice)
Lineage: Eukaryota; Viridiplantae; Streptophyta; Magnoliopsida; Poales; Poaceae
Source: RefSeq, a predicted model, not a curated record